RNAcentral lists this ribosomal RNA (460 nucleotides) under uncultured bacterium. RNAcentral describes it as "partial 16S ribosomal RNA". It matches the Rfam family "Bacterial small subunit ribosomal RNA", at positions 338 to 795 of the family's 1533-position model. The record is from RNAcentral.
CCUACGGGAGGCAGCAGUGAGGAAUAUUGGUCAAUGGACGAGAGUCUGAACCAGCCAAGUAGCGUGAAGGAUGACUGCCCUAUGGGUUGUAAACUUCUUUUAUAUGGGAAUAAAAUGUUCCACGUGUGGGAUUUUGUAUGUACCAUAUGAAUAAGGAUCGGCUAACUCCGUGCCAGCAGCCGCGGUAAUACGGAGGAUCCGAGCGUUAUCCGGAUUUAUUGGGUUAAAAGGGAGCGUAGGUGGAUUGUUAAGUCAGUUGUGAAAGUUUGCGGCUCAACCGUAAAAUUGCAGUUGAAACUGGCAGUCUUGAGUACAGUAGAGGUGGGCGGAAUUCGUGGUGUAGCGGUGAAAUGCUUAGAUAUCACGAAGAACUCCUAUUGCGAAGGCAGUUCACUGGACUGCAACUGACACUGAGGCUCGAAAGUGUGGGUAUCAAACAGGAUUAGAUACCCUAGUAGUC